Molecule: ribosomal RNA, 520 nt
Filed under: uncultured Glomus
Lineage: Eukaryota; Fungi; Glomeromycota; Glomeromycetes; Glomerales; Glomeraceae
Description: SSU rRNA
Rfam family: Eukaryotic small subunit ribosomal RNA
Source: RNAcentral
AGCAGCCGCGGUAAUUCCAGCUCCAAUAGCGUAUAUUAAAGUUGUUGCAGUUAAAAAGCUCGUAGUUGAAUUUCGGGGUUAGUAGGUUGGUCGUGCCACUGGUACGUACUGGUCUCACUGAUUCCUCCUUCCUGAUGAACUGUAAUGCCAUUAAUCUGGUGUUGCAGGGAAACUGGACUGUUACUUUGAAAAAAUUAGAGUGUUUAAAGCAAGCUAACGCUUGAAUACAUUAGCAUGGAAUAAUGAAAUAGGACGUUCGAUCCUAUUUUGUUGGUUUCUAGGAUUGACGUAAUGAUUAAUAGGGAUAGUUGGGGGCAUUAGUAUUCAAUUGUCAGAGGUGAAAUUCUUGGAUUUAUUGAAGACUAACUACUGCGAAAGCAUUUUGCCAAGGAUGUUUUCAUUAAUCAAGAACGAAAGUUAGGGGAUCGAAGACGAUCAGAUACCGUCGUAGUCUUAACCAUAAACUAUGCCGACUAGGGAUCGGAUGAUGUUAAUUUUUUAAUGACUCAUUCGGCGCCUU